AGGACGAACGCUGGCGGCGUGCUUAACACAUGCAAGUCGAGCGGAAAGGCCCUUCGGGGUACUCGAGCGGCGAACGGGUGAGUAACACGUGAGUAAUCUGCCUUCAGCUCUGGGAUAGCUCCGGGAAAACCGGGAUUAAUACCGGAUAUGACCACUUCGGACAUCUGUUGUGGUGGAAAGUUUUUCGGCUGGAGAUGAGCUCGCGGCCUAUCAGCUUGUUGGUGGGGUAAAGGCCUACCAAGGCGACGACGGGUAGCCGGCCUGAGAGGGCGACCGGCCACACUGGGACUGAGACACGGCCCAGACUCCUACGGGAGGCAGCAGUGGGGAAUAUUGGACAAUGGGGGCAACCCUGAUCCAGCCAUGCCGCGUGAGUGAUGAAGGCCUUCGGGUUGUAAAGCUCUUUUGGCGGGGACGAUGAUGACGGUACCCGCAGAAUAAGCCCCGGCUAACUUCGUGCCAGCAGCCGC
Molecule: ribosomal RNA, 470 nt
Filed under: uncultured bacterium
Lineage: Bacteria
Description: SSU rRNA
Rfam family: Bacterial small subunit ribosomal RNA
Source: RNAcentral